UGCAGUCGAGCGGUAAGGNCCCUUCGGGGGUACACGAGCGGCGAACGGGUGAGUAACACGUGAGCAACCUACCCUCAACUUCGGGAUAAGCCUCGGAAACGGGGUCUAAUACCGGAUAUCACCACUUUCCUCAUGGUUUGUGGUUGAAAGUUCUGGCGGUUGGGGAUGGGCUCGCGGCCUAUCAGCUUGUUGGUGGGGUAAUGGCCUACCAAGGCGUCGACGGGUAGCCGGCCUGAGAGGGCGACCGGCCACACUGGGACUGAGACACGGCCCAGACUCCUACGGGAGGCAGCAGUGGGGAAUAUUGCGCAAUGGACGAAAGUCUGACGCAGCAACGCCGCGUGAGGGAUGACGGCCUUCGGGUUGUAAACCUCUUUCAGCAGGGACGAAGCGAGAGUGACGGUACCUGCAGAAGAAGGACCGGCCAACUACGUGCCAGCAGCCGCGGUAAUACGUAGGGUCCGAGCGUUGUCCGGAAUUAUUGGGCGUAAAGGGCUCGUAGGCGGUUCGUCACGUCGGGAGUGAAAACUCGGAGCUUAACUCCGAGCCUGCUUCCGAUACGGGCAGACUAGAGGUAGGCAGGGGAGAGCGGAACUCCUGGUGUAGCGGUGGAAUGCGCAGAUAUCAGGAAGAACACCGGUGGCGAAGGCGGCUCUCUGGGCCUUACCUGACGCUGAGGAGCGAAAGCGUGGGUAGCGAACAGGAUUAGAUACCCUGGUAGUCCACGCCGUAAACGUUGGGCGCUAGGUGUGGGGGACAUUCCACGUCCUCCGUGCCGCAGCUAACGCAUUAAGCGCCCCGCCUGGGGAGUACGGCCGCAAGGCUAAAACUCAAAGGAAUUGACGGGGGCCCGCACAAGCGGCGGAGCAUGCGGAUUAAUUCGAUGCAACGCGAAGAACCUUACCUGGGUUUGACAUAUAGGGAAAUCCUCCAGAGAUGGGGGGUCCGUAAGGGUCCUAUACAGGUGGUGCAUGGCUGUCGUCAGCUCGUGUCGUGAGAUGUUGGGUUAAGUCCCGCAACGAGCGCAACCCUCGUCCUAUGUUGCCAGCACGUUAUGGUGGGGACUCAUAGGAGACUGCCGGGGUCAACUCGGAGGAAGGUGGGGAUGACGUCAAGUCAUCAUGCCCCUUAUGUCCAGGGCUUCACGCAUGCUACAAUGGCCGGUACAAAGGGCUGCGAAACUGUAAGGUGGAGCGAAUCCCAAAAAGCCGGUCUCAGUUCGGAUUGGGGUCUGCAACUCGACCCCAUGAAGUCGGAGUCGCUAGUAAUCGCAGNUCAGC
This 1280-nucleotide ribosomal RNA is filed under the name Kribbella sp. Its description in RNAcentral is "bacterial SSU rRNA". It matches the Rfam family "Bacterial small subunit ribosomal RNA", at positions 56 to 1353 of the family's 1533-position model. Lineage: Bacteria; Bacillati; Actinomycetota; Actinomycetes; Propionibacteriales; Kribbellaceae. The record is from RNAcentral.